CACGUAGGCGGACAUUUAAGUCAGGGGUGAAAUCCCGGGGCUCAACCCCGGAACUGCCUUUGAUACUGGGUGUCUUGAGUCCGGAAGAGGUGAGUGGAAUUGCGAGUGUAGAGGUGAAAUUCGUAGAUAUUCGCAGGAACACCAGUGGCGAAGGCGGCUCACUGGUCCGGUACUGACGCUGAGGUGCGAAAGCGUGGGGAGCAAACA
Molecule: ribosomal RNA, 207 nt
Filed under: uncultured bacterium
Lineage: Bacteria
Description: partial 16S ribosomal RNA
Rfam family: Bacterial small subunit ribosomal RNA
Source: RNAcentral